ACGAGGAUUGUGAAGGAACUUUACGGAGGGAAAACACAAUGACUGAGUGGCGGACGGGUGAGUAACGCGUAGGGAACCUGGCCCUUACAGGGGGAUAACAGAUGGAAACAACUGCUAAUACCGCAUAAGCGCCCAGCCUCGCAUGAGGCAGAGUGAAAAACUAAGGUGGUAAGGGAUGGCCCUGCGUCCGAUUAGCUAGUUGGUAUGGUAACGGCAUACCAAGGCGACGAUCGGUAGCCGGCCUGAGAGGGUGGACGGCCACAUUGGGACUGAGACACGGCCCAAACUCCUACGGGAGGCAGCAGUGGGGGAUAUUGCACAAUGGGGGAAACCCUGAUGCAGCGACACCGCGUGGGUGAAGAAGCGCUUCGGCGUGUAAAGCCCUAUCAGUGGGGAAGAAAAAGGACGGUACCCAAAGAAGAAGCACCGGCUAAAUACGUGCCAGCAGCCGCGGUAAUACGUAUGGUGCAAGCGUUAUCCGGAAUGACUGGGUGUAAAGGGAGCGUAGACGGUUGUACAAGUCUGAUGUGAAAGCCCACGGCUCAACUGUGGGAGUGCAUUGGAAACUGUAGAACUAGAGUAUCGGAGAGGCAAGUGGAAUUCCUAGUGUAGCGGUGAAAUGCGUAGAUAUUAGGAGGAACACCAGUGGCGAAGGCGGCUUGCUGGACGAAAACUGACGUUGAGGCUCGAAAGCGUGGGGAGCAAACAGGAUUAGAUACCCUGGUAGUCCACGCUGUAAACGAUGAAUACUAGGUGUUGGGGCCCGAAGGGCGUCGGUGCCGUCGCAAACGCAGUAAGUAUUCCACCUGGGGAGUACGUUCGCAAGAAUGAAACUCAAAGGAAUUGACGGG
RNAcentral lists this ribosomal RNA (851 nucleotides) under uncultured bacterium. RNAcentral's name for it is "bacterial SSU rRNA". It matches the Rfam family "Bacterial small subunit ribosomal RNA", at positions 65 to 917 of the family's 1533-position model. The record is from RNAcentral.